RNAcentral lists this ribosomal RNA (206 nucleotides) under uncultured bacterium. RNAcentral's name for it is "partial 16S ribosomal RNA". It matches the Rfam family "Bacterial small subunit ribosomal RNA", at positions 1297 to 1500 of the family's 1533-position model. The record is from RNAcentral.
GAUGUAGUCUGCAACUCGACUACAUGAAGCUGGAAUCGCUAGUAAUCGCGAAUCAGCAUGUCGCGGUGAAUACGUUCCCGGGUCUUGUACACACCGCCCGUCACACCAUGGGAGUUGGUAACGCCCGAAGCCAGUGACCCAACCGGAAACGGAGGGAGCUGUCGAAGGUGGGACCGAUAACUGGGGUGAAGUCGUAACAAGGUAGC